UGAGGCCAGGCGCUGUGGCUCACACCUGUAAUCCCACCACUUUGGGAGGCCAAGGUGGGUGGAUCACCUGAAGUCAGGAGUUCGAGACCACCAUGGCCAACAUAAUGAACUGUUGCCUAUACUAAAAAUACAAACACAAACUGAGCCAAGUGAGCCAAGAUCAUGCCAUUGCAUACUCCAGCCUGAGCAACAAGAGCGAACUCCAUCUCAAAAUAAAAAAGGAGACUUGUGCUGUUUCAUCACACAUGCCUAAACACCUACCAAUUUCAUCUACAGGAAGAGGCUGAAUGAUCAGCCCCCCAGGAUUGAAAACUGUCCUGCUGCCAAAUGAUUAUUCAUCUAUGGAUCAUCAUACAACCCCUACACAAUUCACUUACAGUCUACUUUUCAUCUUCCCUCCUUCGGAACAAUUCCUGGUACAGCAUUGUCUUGUUAUUUCAUCCUAUUUAUUUUCACUUCUUUCCCAGGGCAACACUCCCUCUAGUGUCUAUGUAGGGCUCUCAGGUUCCACUCUUGGUACACAGGGUGAAGGCAAAAAGGGAACUCAAGCCUACAACUCUAUGGGUAUAGAUCACCACAAAGUAGUGGAUUGUACCAGUGUGAUAAUUCUGGGGAACAGGCUGCAGAUAUUCUACAGAUAGCUCCAAUCCAUGUGAUAUGCCCAUUUCACAACAGGCACAAAUACAGAAGAGGAAAGGAAAAAUGUAACAUUGAGGUCUAGCCCAUGACUUUGGCAUACAUGAGUCUUUGGCACAAUGGGAUCUGCUUGUCAACCAGCCCCAGCAACCCAGUGUUCUCCAAUGUUCUAGUAGCUACACACUUUACUCACUUCCCUCAAGAAGUCUCCCUUGAUUAGCUGUGAGUUGUAUCAUGGAUGCCCAAUCUGAGAGAAGCUACUCUUCAUCUUUCUGGAUCCCUUAACUCUCCAUGCAAUAAAAGCCCCGAAAUAAUGUUAAAUUUAUUCAUAGCUUAUUAGUGUAAUCAUCUAAUGAAUAUUAUUCUGUUUCUAUUACAAAUUCUGAGUAUGAAUUUCAAGAAUACAGGUCCCCAGUCAUUCACUUCUAGAUCCUUUUCAAUGUCUACUUUGGCACGACAGAAAAGAUAGACAUGGCAAAGACUCAUUGACUGGGGACAUGAACUAUGGGAGGUGGUUGAAAUGAGCAUCUUGAUGAGAACUGGGUUCUAGCCAAGGCCUUGCCAUCAGCUCACUGGGAAACCUUGAGCAAGUGCCUCCUUCCUCUGCUUCAACAUUUCCAUCUGAAAAUUAAGGGAAGGCCCCUUCCAGAUAUAAAAAUAACAACUAAACUAAAGUAUCUUGAGUGCUUGCUACAAAUGGGUCAGGCACUUCUUUUAAGCACUCUGCCCUGUACAGUCUCACUUAAUUCUUACAACAGCCCAAGGUAGAGAUACUAUAUCAUCACUCCCUUUUUUCAGAUGAAGAAACAGCAGAGAGGGUAACAACUUGCCCAAUGUCACACAGCUAUUAAGAAACAGAGGCAGGACUUGAACCCAGGCACCUGGCUGCAAAAUCCAUGAUCUUAUUUAGUAUGUGGCCUGUUUCAGGUUCCCAGUCUAUCUGUUCUCAACAAAUCCAGAAGAGGAUUGCAUUCAUGAUGAAAUCUCUCCACAAAUAUGAAUUCACACAAGUUGUACCAUAUACCCAUACUAAAUAAUCCCACAACCCAAUAUAAUCCUUGAUUAUCCUACAUAGCUUUAUUUCCAGUUUUUCCCUUAAAGAAGGUUUUUUCUCUUUCCAAUGCAUGCCAAGUAACAGUCCCCUACUUAGCCAAGGGCACAGUUUUACUGACCAAGAACCCUGCUGGCCCCACUCUGCUGCAGGUCCCUCUCAUCUCAACCAAGCAGGGAUGGCUUCCUCUGAUUCCCUGCAUGCACUCAAUAGCAGAAAACAAUCUGUGCAAUCCUGAGGUUCUUAGACUCCAUUAUUUUUUCCAAAUUUACUAUAGAACAUUUAUUAGUGUAUAUAAACAACAGUAUUUCUAUAAAUAAUUAAAUCCAAACUACACUGAUCAAAAUAAAUGAGCAAAAUAUUCCUGGUUGUGAUGUAACCAGGCUUGAUUCACUCACUAACUCAAAUAACAAAGUGACUCACAAGAGGCCCCCAUUAACAAUGGUUAGUAAGAUACAGCUUGUCCAACAUUAACUAGCUUGUUAUUCAUUGUCUGCAGCCACCGUGGUGGGUGGGCAGGUUGACUAUAGAGUAUGGCCCCAGAACAGAAGGAAAGAAUCUAUUCCUAAAUCUCUCUAACUAGCCUCAUAGGAUACCCAUCCUGGGGCCUCAAUCUACCCUACCUAUAAAAUGGGCACCUCAACAGAGUGAAAACACACAAAUCCUCUUAGAAGGAAAAUGCUCUGUUAACCUGAGAAGAAAGGAGAAAAAUGGGUGUGAAGAGGGGAUGGCUCUUCCAAGAGAAAAAAAAAUAAGCAGGGUCCAAGGUAGGCUGCCAUGUUUCUGUCUGAGCCUCAUAUCCUCAUCUCUAUCAUGAGUGAUUUGAUGAAGACAAUUCCCAAGUGCACUUCCAGUCUUGACAUUCUGCAAGUCUCAAAUUCCUCUAGUAUGUCCCACAGGGAUCCUCUCUUCUGCGAGCUCAUAGCCUGAAACGAUCACUUGACAAUUAACCACGUAUCACCCCAUGGCAUCUGUCUUGUUGUCAUGUGUUAUUUAACUUUACAGAAGAGCAGUCUCACAUCCAAAGCAUGUCGGCAGGACCAUGAGGCAAAUGCUGUCUUAUCCUUCUUUGUCUCCUCUCUAUCACACUUCUACCAACCCCACAGUUUCUAGGACAAUGCCACAUACACAGGAAACACUCAGAAAAUGGAUGAAUGUCUUAUGGGGGUGUCCAUCUGAUCUCUGAAGUCCAUGAGAAGCCAGGAUUGUUAACUAGUCCUUAUUUCUAUCCUCUUACUAAGUAGUGUAGAGACCCCUCUGAAUCUUAUGUUAACAUUCAUACAUGAAAUAAUACACCAGUUGUCUAAACUCAGUGUUA
Molecule: long non-coding RNA, 3005 nt
Organism: Pan troglodytes (chimpanzee)
Lineage: Eukaryota; Metazoa; Chordata; Mammalia; Primates; Hominidae
Exons: 2
Source: RefSeq, a predicted model, not a curated record